Molecule: ribosomal RNA, 524 nt
Filed under: uncultured bacterium
Lineage: Bacteria
Description: partial 16S ribosomal RNA
Rfam family: Bacterial small subunit ribosomal RNA
Source: RNAcentral
GACGAACGCUGGCGGCGUGCCUAAUACAUGCAAGUCGAGCGCAGGAAACUGACGGAACUCUUCGGAGGGAAGGCAGUGGAAUGAGCGGCGGACGGGUGAGUAACACGUAAGGAACCUGCCUCAAGGAUUGGGAUAACUCCGAGAAAUCGGAGCUAAUACCGGAUAGUUCAACGGACCGCAUGGUCCGCUGAUGAAAGGCGCUCCGGCGUCACCUUGAGAUGGCCUUGCGGUGCAUUAGCUAGUUGGUGGGGUAACGGCCCACCAAGGCGACGAGGCAUAGACGACCGGGGAGGGUGAUAGGCCACACUGGGACUGAGACACGGCCCAGACUCCUACGGGAGGCAGCAGUAGGGAAUCUUCCACAAUGGACGAAAGUCUGAUGGAGCAACGCCGCGUGAGUGAUGAAGGUUUUCGGAUCGUAAAACUCUGUUGUAAGGGAAGAACACGUACGAGAGGAAAUGCUCGUACCUUGACGGUACCUUACGAGAAAGCCACGGCUAACUACGUGCCAGCAGCCGCCGUAA